This is a long non-coding RNA of Haemorhous mexicanus (house finch), 1581 nucleotides long. RefSeq lists it as uncharacterized. The transcript is spliced from 3 exons. The record is from RefSeq and is a predicted model, not a curated record. NCBI's taxonomy places the organism in Eukaryota, Metazoa, Chordata, Aves, Passeriformes, Fringillidae.
CCCGCGCGCCCGCCCCGCGCCGCCAUUUGCCGGCACCGCCGCGAGCCGGGAGGCCAUUGGUUCUUCCGCCUGUCAGUCAGAGCGGGGGCGGAGCCCCGCGAAUCGAAAGUGAAAGGCGGGAGGGCGUGUCCUGACUUCAGUAAUUUGACUUUGCCCUUCUUGAGCUUGGACACUGCUUGUUCCUGUGGCCUCUGACAAAGGCAAUAGACUGAAACCUCCUUGGCCGCCGGCUGUUGGAUGUCAGGACUGCCUUCUAGUCUGAACCUUGCAGCAUUUUUUUUGCUGGGCCAUACAAAGGAAUGGGGGAAGCAGAUCUUCCUGUCCCACACGUGGAUCGUGCCCAGCUCGGGGCGGGCAGAGCGAAGCUCGGGGGAUGCGUUGUCUUUCAAAGGCAGAGCCAGCCCUGGUUUGGGGGCUUGGCCAGCGGCUCCCCGGAGGGGAAAAGGAGAAAGGGGUGCCCAUGAGGGGCUGGGUCCCCGCUGCCCUGCCCGCCCCAGAGCCAGUGCCCGUGCUGGGAGCCCCUCGGUGCCACGCUCGCUCCCCUCUGGCCGGGCUGGUGCAGGGGAGGCUCCGGCGAGUGCAGCCCCGGCCGGCCCUGGGGACAAGGUGCUGCGGUGCCCUGGCCCUGCUGUGCCUGAGCUGAGCUCCCACUGCCCUGGCACACCGCUGGGGACACACGGACUGCCAGCCCAGUGUCCCGGCCUCACUCGUUGGCUUCCUUUUGCCGGUCCCUUCUCUAAAGCUGGGAACGCUGCGAGGCCCCUGAGGCUCUGUUCCUGUGCCCAGCCCGGCGUCUCUGUUUGCAUGGCACUCGCACCGCUCCCGGAGCUCACCGUGAUCGCCCGGGAGCACCCGCGCUCCUUACGGGGAAAGAGCCGGGAUUGUCCCUGGGAAGGCAGCCGUGUACGGGAGCCGGCCUGCAGCCCCCGCUGGGAUCGCUGUGCCUUCCCUCGGCUGCAGCUCCCGCCUGCACAGCUGUGCUACAGCUGCUGCGGGUAAAGCCAGCUGCACCGGGGACCCACGGCCACCUCUCCUCCACCCGUGCAGGGUGUCUUUUGAGGAAGGCUUGCAACAGGCUUUGCAAUGGCCUGGAAAGCCUGGAACCAAAGGAAUAACAUGAAUAUUAAAAUAUUAUUAUUUUUUUCUUUUGCCUCUACAUAGUACUGAUAAUAAUCUUUUUUUUUUUAGGCAGUGCUUUGCCUACUGAAACACACAGACAAAGAGUUAUUUAAAAAUGCUUUGUUGUCAAUACACUGAAUGAGCUGUACUAGUGACACCUAUAAUGACAACAAAAGGCUCCUCUUUUUCCGCCUGUUCUAGAACAUGCAAAGUAUCAUAAAAUCAACGAGUAGGCUUGACUGGAUAACAUUUAUCUUCAUUAUGAGUGGCUAAUUUCAAUAGGUUCUGCAAUGCUUUAGAAAGGUCAGAUGCACUGCUUGUCUCUGCUGGUCUUUUAUGCUGUGUGAUGCCAUGGAACACUUUGAAGCACAUACAGGGAAAUUUACAUAAACUUGCAAAAUUCGCGGUAAAAAAAAAAUCCCAUUGUAUCCCUGUUUAAAGAUAUAAAAUUGGUAAAACUUC